GUCACAACUCGCGAAACGUAUAAAGUGACCAGGUUAUUUCGAGUUUUCAGCAAUUAUAGUUAAAUUAAUAUAGUUCGUUUUUAAUGUAAUCUUGAAAAACAGGUAUAAUUUGCCAUGGAAUCAGGAUUUAACAAAGCAAACUGCAGUAAUUUGUCAAAAAUUGACGUAGUUAUGCUUGACAAUUUUUUUGCAUUGAACACCUACUUUUAUUCAUCGAAAGUCGACAGGGUUAAAACUUAUAUCCAAACUCAUUAUUUUCAUUUUCUGGCUCCGCUGGUUAUUCUUCUCAUAAAAAAAAAUGUAAAAAAAUUGGAAUACAUGUUUUGUACAAUACCUAUACUAAAUAACUCACUUAACAGGUAAUUAUUGAAAAAAAUUGAGUCAUUACAAUAUUUAACUUGAUGUCGAAUCCAAUCCUACACACCACUAUGGAGCUUAUCUUUAAUAUUAUUCAAUAAUAAUUGUUUCUAACUAAAAAUAAUAAGGAAAUUUUAAAUAUUUUCGCUACUAACAUUAAUUUACAAUAAUGGCAUUAAAUAUUUUUGGCAAUAUCCGGCGUUCCGAUGUCUGAUCGUUCCCUAACCUCCGAAUUUGUAAUUGGCGCAGUCAAUAGGAUCUCUAAUCAUCAAAGUAAUUUUUGUCAUUGUCGCAGUCAGUAAAAUUUGUGUCAUUAGUGUCAGUGGGAUUAGCAAUUUAUGACGAGUGUGAACAUUUUACGAUAUUUCAACGUUAGUCAAUCUCAGCAAUGGCCUAAAAAUGUCCAUAAACAACAAUUAUUUGUUGGCUUAUAGACUCAGCGUUCAAUUCAUAACAAAAUCAUUGAUAGUUGUCAUUUUUUUAUACAUCGCGCGUGUCAUUAUUCUCGUUAUGUGUAUCGGUAAUUGGCGCAGUCAGUAGGAUUUGUGACGGGUGUGUUUCAAGUCCGGAACGAUCACGUACCGUCAAGUAUAUUCGAGAAAGAUCAAGGAGAAGAAAUAGAAAUUUUUUAGAGGAACUUCGAACAUAAAUUAGAAUCGAAAUAAUUGUUUUAGAGGUAAUGUUUUGCACCUUAUUAAAGUUUGAUUAAAAAAAUACAUCUAACGAUCAGAAAUCGAAGCUAUUGUAUUCGGCAUUAAUCACCUAUCGCGAAGUGUUUGUGAUCGAUUAUUGGUGUACUUUUUUUUUUAAAUCUAAUCAAAUACUGAUAAGGUUUUAGUUGUUUUUUUUUUUCAUCUAAAAGAUUUGUUGAUGAUGUAGGACUGACUAGUUGGCUAACUGUUAUCUUUGGACGCUUCUAAAGGUUUUGGAUCAGAUUCGUGACCUUGAGUACUGCUGGAUUGUACGAGAAUCGAAGAUAACGCUUCUAAGGACUGCCUAACCUAAAAAAAAAAUCAAUUUUUUUUUAUAAAUCGUUUCAGUUUACUUAUCUGUCGCAAUAUUUACCUGAGCAAUUAAAACCAAAUUCGAAUCUAAGAAAUUAUUAACGGCUCCCGCUGAUUUCGAAUGCAUUUGGGAAUGCCACUGCAAGAGGUCGCUGUAGACAUCGUUAGAGCCUUUGAUCAUGUUCUCGUGGAAUACCAUUGAGUAUUUGUUUUGUAUUUUGCUAAUUCGAUAAAGUAAUAUACCAGCUGAGAAAAAAAGAAGAAUGAGCAAUAAAGUUGUGGCGCACAAGAUGAGACUCUGACGUGGUAAUUUGCGAAAUUCUAUUAUAGAUUGUUUAAGGACGCUAAUAAAGCCUGCAGAGUCGUAUUGCGUGCCUAAAAAAAUCGGAAAUCACCAUCAAACUCAAAGUACGAAUUAUCUGUUAUUUAAAAAAUUAUUUUUCACCACUUAUACCAUGUAUAAUAUCGAUAUAUAUUUUUUAACGACUUUGUAAACCGCCGAUUCACUUAAAAAUAUUAGAUAAUGCAUUUUUUCUAUUCAACAUUUCGUUCGUACCCCGUAUAAACAGUUACGUCAUCUUUAUUAUAUAACGCAGUCUGUUAAUGAUAUAGUAGCAAGUCGGUGACGCGAUACUGAAUUAAUAUCAAGAAAUUUCCAAUUUUUUUUUUUCAAAUUUAACGUUUUCAUUGAAUCGUUAUUAAAUAUAAUGACGUUUAGGUUACAAUUGCCGUUAUGGACGAUAAACGGAACGUCCACCUCUACUAUACGUUAAUAUCGUCAUGUUGCCAAGUGUAAAUAUUUUCAAAGAAUGUUCGGAAAUAAUUAAAAUUGACGUUAAGAUUUGAUAGUAAAGUUAAUAAUAAAUUGAAUUAUUACCAUCUACGUCACUAGGUCGACGUCCUUUAGGAAUAAUUUUAACUAGAGAAAAUUUAGGCUUUAUUUCGAUAGGCGGCGAAUCCCUACCGCUUUCCGCUUCUACUGAAUCACUGGAAUCCAAAUCCGGUUCCUGAAAAAUAUCCGGAAAUAACUCGAAAUGCAAUACGGUAUGGAAUUUAUCGGAAUUUUUUUCUACUUACUUCGAUUUCCGGCUCUAUUAUAACGGGAUAUGCAUUUUUGGCUUUCUGCCAUACCGUUCUCAUGUAUAUCAGCGUAUUAUCUCUCGAUAUUAAACUACCGAAUACGUGCUUAUCCUCGCUAGUCGAAACACCGACGGCGUUAGGUAUUAUCCUGGCUGUUUUUUCUUUCGUUAUAUUUUCUACAGUAAGUAUCGGAAUUAAGAGCUACGAAACAAAAAAAAACAAACAAAAACAUUCGAUCGUUUAACGUAAAUUCGCCCACGUAAAUACCUACGAACAGAUCCGGACUGGCUACUAAUCGAAAAUACUUCGCCUUUCCGGAUCUGCGUGAAGGGUGAAUAAUAAUCGACGAAAUAUCAACUCACCUUGGUAACAUAUCCGAAUACGUUGGAAUAAAAAGCGAAGUAAUUUUUAGUAAUAUAGAGGUGGCCCUGUAAUAAAAUAUCUCCGAUAAGUGCGCACGAAUAAUGAUUCAAUACUUUUUCGUCGUCUUCGACGUUGGGAAAAUGUCGAAGGAAUUUUUUUUGUCGCGCUUUCGAGGUGGUGCGAAUUUUGGGGUCUUUGGUUGUUUUAGGACUAGGAGGUUCGGUAAUUUGCGCCUGCGCCGUCAUCACCGGCGUCGACGUCGACAGAUGUUUCAAAGACGCUCUACAACAAAAUAAAUUACGUCAUAAACAUCGAGGAUUUCGAACAGAUUAAAAAAAAAAAGAAAA
Diorhabda carinulata is the source of this 3151-nucleotide long non-coding RNA. RefSeq lists it as uncharacterized. Lineage: Eukaryota; Metazoa; Arthropoda; Insecta; Coleoptera; Chrysomelidae. The transcript has 2 exons. The record is from RefSeq and is a predicted model, not a curated record.